Molecule: ribosomal RNA, 500 nt
Filed under: uncultured bacterium
Lineage: Bacteria
Description: partial 16S ribosomal RNA
Rfam family: Bacterial small subunit ribosomal RNA
Source: RNAcentral
ACUCAAAGGAAUAGACGGGGGCUCGCACAAGCAGUGGAGCAUGCGGUUUAAUUCGAUGCUACGCGAAAAACCUUACCAACCCUUGACAUGGUGGUCGUAGUCUACAGAGAUGUAGGCGUCAGUUCGGCUGGACCACACACAGGUGUUGCAUGGCUGUCGUCAGCUCGUGUCGUGAGAUGUUGGGUUAAGUCCCGCAACGAGCGAAACCCUCAUCCUUAUUUGCCAGCGGUUAGGCCGGGAACUAUAAGGAAACUGCCGGUGAUAAGCCGGAGGAAGGUGGGGAUGAUGUCAAGUCAUCAUGGCCCUUACGGGUUGGGCUACACGCGUGCUACAAUGGUAACUACAGAGGGAAGCAAUACGGCGACGUGGAGCAAAUCCUCAAAAGUUAUCUCAGUUCGGAUUGCUCUCUGCAACUCGAGAGCAUGAAGCCGGAAUUGCUAGUAAUCGCGGAUCAGCAUGCCGCGGUGAAUACGUUCUCGGGCCUUGUACACACCGCCCGU